AGGAUGAACGCUAGCGGCAGGCUUAACACAUGCAAGUCGAGGGGCAGCACGUCUUCGGAUGGUGGCGACCGGCGCACGGGUGCGUAACGCGUAUACAACCUACCUUAUAGAGGGGAAUAGCCCAGAGAAAUUUGGAUUAAUGCCCAUAGUAUUAUUGAAUAGCAUUAUUUGAUGAAUUAAACUAUUUAUGGUCUAUAAGAGUGGGUAUGUCGUUCUAUUAGCUAGUAGUAGGUAAGGUAACGGUCUUACCAGUGGACAACGAUAGAGUAGGGGUCCUGGAGGAGGGAGACUACCCCACUACGUGGUACUGACGACGACGGACCAGACUCCGUACGGGA
Molecule: ribosomal RNA, 338 nt
Filed under: uncultured soil bacterium
Lineage: Bacteria
Description: bacterial SSU rRNA
Rfam family: Bacterial small subunit ribosomal RNA
Source: RNAcentral